UGCCUGGCGGCCGUAGCGCGGUGGUCCCACCUGACCCCAUGCCGAACUCAGAAGUGAAACGCCGUAGCGCCGAUGGUAGUGUGGGGUCUCCCCAUGCGAGAGUAGGGAACUGCCAGGCUG
RNAcentral lists this ribosomal RNA (120 nucleotides) under Escherichia coli. Lineage: Bacteria; Pseudomonadati; Pseudomonadota; Gammaproteobacteria; Enterobacterales; Enterobacteriaceae. RNAcentral also lists the same sequence under 1 other name. The record is from RNAcentral.